This 496-nucleotide ribosomal RNA is filed under the name uncultured bacterium. RNAcentral describes it as "partial 16S ribosomal RNA". It matches the Rfam family "Bacterial small subunit ribosomal RNA", at positions 28 to 506 of the family's 1533-position model. The record is from RNAcentral.
GAUGAACGCUGGCGGCGUGCCUAAUACAUGCAAGUCGAGCGAACAGACGAGGAGCUUGCUCCUCUGACGUUAGCGGCGGACGGGUGAGUAACACGUGGAUAACCUACCUAUAAGACUGGGAUAACUUCGGGAAACCGGAGCUAAUACCGGAUAAUAUAUUGAACCGCAUGGUUCAAUAGUGAAAGACGGUUUUGCUGUCACUUAUAGAUGGAUCCGCGCCGCAUUGGCUAGUUGGUAAGGUAACGGCUUACCAAGGCAACGAUGCGUAGCCGACCUGAGAGGGUGAUCGGCCACACUGGAACUGAGAAACGGUCCAGACUCCUACGGGAGGCAGCAGUAGGGAAUCUUCCGCAAUGGGCGAAAGCCUGACGGAGCAACGCCGCGUGAGUGAUGAAGGUCUUCGGAUCGUAAAACUCUGUUAUUAGGGAAGAACAAAUGUGUAAGUAACUAUGCACGUCUGGACGGUACCAAAGCAGAAAGCCACGGCUAACUACGU